Chelonoidis abingdonii (Abingdon island giant tortoise) is the source of this 108-nucleotide non-coding RNA. The record is from RefSeq and is a predicted model, not a curated record. Lineage: Eukaryota; Metazoa; Chordata; Testudines; Testudinidae.
AGGGGAGUCAGAGCUUUAGGGACACCCAGAGUACGAAGUUGUAUCCCUGACCAUCUUGGCUAAUAGCCAUUGAUGGACUUAUCCUCCAUGAACAUAUCUAAUUAUUUU